This 545-nucleotide ribosomal RNA is filed under the name uncultured bacterium. RNAcentral describes it as "partial 16S ribosomal RNA". It matches the Rfam family "Bacterial small subunit ribosomal RNA", at positions 355 to 891 of the family's 1533-position model. The record is from RNAcentral.
UGGGGAAUUUUGGACAAUGGGCGAAAGCCUGAUCCAGCAAUGCCGCGUGUGUGAAGAAGGCCUUCGGGUUGUAAAGCACUUUUGUCCGGAAAGAAAUCCUCUGGGUUAAUACCUCGGGGGGAUGACGGUACCGGAAGAAUAAGCACCGGCUAACUACGUGCCAGCAGCCGCGGUAAUACGUAGGGUGCAAGCGUUAAUCGGAAUUACUGGGCGUAAAGUGUGCGCAGGCGGUUUUGUAAGACGGAUGUGAAAUCCCCGGGCUUAACCUGGGAACUGCAUUCGUGACUGCAAGGCUAGAGUAUGGCAGAGGGGGGUUAGAAUUCCACGUGUAGCAGUGAAAUGCGUAGAGAUGUGGAGGAAUACCGAUGGCGAAGGCAGCCCCCUGGGCCAAUACUGACGCUCAUGCACGAAAGCGUGGGGAGCAAACAGGAUUAGAUACCCUGGUAGUCCACGCCCUAAACGAUGUCAACUAGUUGUUGGGGACUUCAUUUCCUUAGUAACGUAGCUAACGCGUGAAGUUGACCGCCUGGGGAGUACGGUCGCAA